GAGAGUGGCACCCCAGGAGAGAGAGGCGAAGUGGGACCUAAUGGGCUGCCAGGGCCCAAAGGGACUUCAGGAGGACCGGGACCAGAAGGCCCAAAGGGUGGGGCUGGGACUAAAGGAGCUGUCGGAGAUGUAGGAGGCAUAGGCCUACAGGGGGUGCCAGGGGAGAGGGGUCUUCCUGGAUCUCCUGGUCCAAAAGGAGAUGUGGUAAGGACUUGUGUCGGAUGGGAAAAUAUUAACCAAAAACUGCAAGUCUGUAAUUAAAUUAUGAUUUACAUUUUAGUCAUUAGGCAUGCGCUCUUAUCCAGCGACUUGCAGUUAGCACUUCAGAUUAAAUGACAUCAGAAGGAACUGCUGGUUUUGACCCUGUUAGAUUCUGUCCAAGUUUGAUCCAUGAACAAAAUAAAUGCAAUCGGAAGUCAGGGGAGAUCCAUCUUUAUUCAGCAUGAGUCUAUGAUGUUGACCUUCCAUUUCUCAUUUAAAUCUCUCUCCAAUGAUUACAAAGUGGACACAGUAUUUAUGCCCAAGCACAUCCCCACCAAUAUCUGUCUGUCUUCCAAUCACAUACGUGUAUUCUACAUCCUAACCUUACAUGGCCUAAUAGUGUCCCCUCUUAAGUUUCUUGGCUCCACAGCUUAUCAGGUUGUGUGAGGCCCCUCAGUAGUAGAUACCAACUGCUUGUGAUACGGUACCUCAUAUAGCACAAGAUAACGAACCACUCCUCUAACAAGAGAAUAGAACUAAAAUACAUGCAUAUCAUCAGGUACAGACAGGUUUCCUCACAAUGGUAUGUGCCAACCUACGGCCCAUGGGUCUAUUCAUAGGGUCUAUGACAGUCAGAUGGAAAACUCCUAUCAGGAGGUAUGGACAGGAUGUGUGGAAAUCAUCAGAAAUGGGGCAUCACAUUUCCUACCUAGUGUCCUUCGUACAGAGAUCCUUAAUACUCUCAUACAUUGUGUAAUUCAGCUACUUUUCAUGCCCAAUAUCUAUCAACCCUUUGUAUUGGUCUGUCAGCCCAGUACAGGACUUAUUCACAGUCCAGUAGUGGGCUGAUGGGCGUUCAUUCAGAAGCCUCCUUUUGCUCACUCCUUUUCUCCACAAAGGGUUCUGUUGGCGAAAAAUGGGCAGAGGGCACAGCAGGAAUGGAUGGGCUCAGGGUAAGUACACAUCUACGCAUCAGAUUAUAGGGGUCUCCAGGAGAACCUGGUCCAACUGGAGCAGUAUGAUUCCCUGGGCCUCCUGUGAGUUACAAACCUGUGAAGUGCAUGCCUGAGGGUAUACUUUAUGCCAGGCCUCGGUCAUACUGUCCCAGGGCAAUUUAAGCGGUCACUAGAGGGCCUCCAACAGCUAGGGUGCCCCCGACCGAUAGGGGAGAGGGGGCCCCAAAUAAAAUGUUGUUUAAGUCCUCCAAAAGCCAGCAUUGUUUUAUGUAGGAUUGUGCAACAACUGUAUACAGAGAUCUGUUUGGGUCUCAUGGGGUAGCUCAAAGUAUAGUUUGGCUAUAUAAUGUUGUCAUGACACUAGAAAAUGUACAUAGGUGACAUUGUCGUAUUUGAAAUUGGCCCAUUUUAACCAGACCACAAGCAAAUUAGUUUUCUUGCAAAUAAGAACCCUAGCUAAGGAGUAUUUAUAAAAUGGAAAUGUGCAUGAGAACCUGCUAACAUGGCUAGAUUAUUUGCUUAUGACCUCAGCUGAGCAAAUCUCCAACCCAAAGGGGAGCCUUAAAAUACCCUCUAAAAUACCCAAUGCUCAUUCCUCAAGCCAAAAUCUAGUAGUGUUGCACGGUGAUGACUAAGCCCAGCAAUCCCAAUGAUUGUGUUUGUCUUUUGGCAGGGUCCGGAUGGGCAACCUGGGGUCAAAGGGGAACCAGGAGAGGGAGGGCCGAAGGGUGAGGCUGGAGCAAAUGGACCCCAAGGACCUGCUGGUAAAAUGGGUUCACAGGGUCCUGUUGGUGUGACUCAGACUAAGGAAUUAUAUACUGUCAUGGUCGGAUGCAUUUAUAUGGAGUUUAUCACAUUUGUCUUUUGUGGCCUUUUAAAUUGCAAUCAGUGUCUGUGUAUAACUAAUCAAUGAGUUUGUUAGCUCACACUUGGAUGCACUGAGCAGGCUAGAUACUGAGCCAUGGGGAGCAGAAAAAAACGGUCAAAAGACCUGAGUAACAAUGUAAUGGAACUUUAUAAAGAUGGAAAAGGAUAUAAAAAAAAAAAUCCAAAGCAUUGCAAAUGCAAGUCAGUACUGUUCAAUCACUUAAGUGGAAAAUUCAGGUAUCUCAUGACACCAAGACAAGGUCAGGUAGCCCAAGAAACAUUUCAGCCAAAACUGCCAGAAGAAUUGUUCGAAAUACAAAGAUAAACCCACAGGUAACCUCAAGAGAAAUACAGGCUGCUCUGGAAAAAGAUGGUUUGUUUGUUUCAAGGAGCACAAUAUGACAAUACAAAAAAUGAGCUGCGUGGUCGAGUUGCCAGAAAGAAGCCUUUACUGCACCAAUGCCCCAAAAAAGCCUGGUUGUAAUUUGCCAGGCAACGCCUUGAUACGCCUCACAGCUUCUGGCACACUGUAAUUUGGAGUGACAAGACCAAAAUAGAGCUUUAUGGUCACAACCAUAAGCACUAUGUUUGGAGAGGGGUCAACAAGGUCUAUAUUGAACAGAAUACCAUCCCCACUGUGAAGCUUGAGCAAUAUUUUAAAAAGGCAAAAAAAAGGCAAUAUUUUGUGAUUUUAUUUAGCAUUUUUAGACAUUAAGUGAUUUAGUAAAUAAUAUCAGAAUUCUGGCAUACAUUUGAUAUAUUUCAUCACCCAAGAGCUCCCCUCAGAAUGACUGCAAUGGUGAAGAAAUCAUAGUAUAGAUAAAAACUAAAUAUAGAGAAAAAAGGUUAUCAAACAUUAUGAAAAUGUAAAUUUUUGGCAUUGAGUUCACACUUAUCGAGAGUGUUACAUACAUUACAAAGACUGCAUACAUUAUCUACAUUCAGUACUUUACAAUUCGUUUUAGCUGCAUGAUUCGUCAAUGUAAAUGAUUCGUCAAUAUAAAAUUAUUUUCAACUAACUAAAGUACUAAAUGUUCAAACAAAUGUUUAUAGAAACCUAAUUUCUGUAAAAUGAAAUAUAUUUGAAAAUGAAAUAGGUUUCUGAAUGAACGCCCAUCAGCCCACUACUGUACUGUGAAAAAUUCCUGUACUGGGCUGACAGACCAAUACAAAGGGUCAAAACCAGCAGUUCCUUCUGAUAUCAUAAAAUCUGAAGUACUAAAUGCAAGCCACUCUGUAUAAGAGCGCAUGCCUAAUGACUAAAAUGUAUGUCCUAAUUUAGUUACACUAGGGACUCGCAGUUUUGGUUAAGUCCUUACCAUAUCUCCUUUUGGACCAGGAAAUCCAGGAAGACCCCUCUCCCCUGGCACCCCAUGCAGGCCUAUGUCUCCUAUGUCUCCGACAGCUCCUUUAGUCCCAGCCCCACCCUGGUAGGGAGAACACACAUACAAUAACCUAAUUUUAAUGGGAAAUACCUUGGAUAUCUAAGGCUAAUCAUUGCAAUGUAAAUAUUCAUUAGGUUUCGCUAACUGUCUUUAAUGGGACAACCUGGUUAAAUGAAUGAAUGUCUAUGAUGAGGUACAUGCCUUUGGGACUUCUGGUCCCGGUCAUCCUGAAGUCCUGUUGGGCCCUGGCAGCCCAUUAGGUCCCACUUCGCCUCUCUCUCCUGGGGUGCCCCUCUCACCCUACCAUACAAUCAGACCUGUUAGCGUUCUGUUUACCAGCAAUGUCUUUACAGCACUGUACAUUAUCAAACUUAUUUUACUAAGAUUAGGGAUGAGUAACUCAUUACAAUCCAAAAUAAUUAUACAUUUGUUGUCCUGACUUUUAGGUACAAGGGUUAAAAAAUGUAAUAUGCAAAGCAUCAGGGUUACCUUUAUAUACUGGAUCUAUUUUAACUGAAAUGGGCGUCAAGUGAUUAAUAAAGCAGUUAAGAAAAUAACUUACUCCUAGAACCUGUGGGAACGGCUGCCACUCCUUUUCCUGUAAACGAUAAGUAUGAAAACCUAACAGUGAGUCUACAUUCCGUCAGUAAUUAAAACAAAACUGGGAAGUCAGGUUGAAAAAUGCAGUUCUAGCAUGCGAAGGAACACUUUGUAUAAGUAUAAUUAGUCCUUGCAUCGCUUGGCAUUCUGCACACACCCUGUGUCCCGCAGGUCAGAUCGUCCCUUCUUCUGUAAACCCACAAUCGACACACGUGGGACAGUACGCGUGGGACAGUACGCGUGGGACAGUACGCGUGGGACAGCACAUAUGUGCACAGCCUCUGCAGACGUACUUCUUACACCUGCUGCACACCGUGUGGGUUUUACAGUCCUUAUUGGGUGGGCAGCUCCGACACCUCUUCCUCUUACUGGCAGGGGCCGGGGCAGGGGCCGGGGCAGGGGCCGG
Molecule: long non-coding RNA, 4415 nt
Organism: Esox lucius (northern pike)
Lineage: Eukaryota; Metazoa; Chordata; Actinopteri; Esociformes; Esocidae
Source: Ensembl